This 318-nucleotide ribosomal RNA is filed under the name uncultured cyanobacterium. RNAcentral's name for it is "partial 16S ribosomal RNA". It matches the Rfam family "Bacterial small subunit ribosomal RNA", at positions 241 to 573 of the family's 1533-position model. The record is from RNAcentral. Lineage: Bacteria; Bacillati; Cyanobacteriota.
UNANCUANUNGGNGGGGNAACGGGNGCUCAGGCGACGAUCAGUUAGCUGGUCUGAGAGGAUGAUCAGCCACACUGGAACUGAGACACGGUCCAGACUCCUACGGGAGGCAGCAGUGAGGAAUUUUCUGCAAUGGGCGAAAGCCUGACAGAGCAAUACCGCGUGANGGAUGAAGGCCUACGGGUUGUAAACCUCUUUUCUCAAGGAGGAAGAUCUGACGUUACUUGAGGAAUAAGCAUCGGCUAACCCUGUGCCAGCAGCCGCGGUAAUACAGGGGAUGCAAGUGUUAUCCGGAAUUAUUGGGCGUAAAAGCNUCCGAA